This 693-nucleotide ribosomal RNA is filed under the name Triticum aestivum (bread wheat). RNAcentral describes it as "partial small subunit ribosomal RNA". Lineage: Eukaryota; Viridiplantae; Streptophyta; Magnoliopsida; Poales; Poaceae. The record is from RNAcentral.
GGCAAUAUCCUGUGAGCUGGACCGAAGAAAGGCUCCUCGUUCACAUGGCAAAGUAUCUUUGCGGGGAUACAAACGUUCAAGCGGGGGUGUAUUUGGAGGGUGGGUACGGGCUCACAGAUCAAUAUCUGGGAGGACCCAUGGAUUCCAUCAAGCCCGAUCAGGAAAGUAAUUACCCCUCGAGGGGGAGUUAUGUUGUCAAAAGUGCAAGAUAUAAUUGACCCACAUACGAGUCAGUGGGAUGAGGCACUUAUUCAGAGUGUGUUCUCACAAGUUGAUGUAAGCAGAAUAUUACAAAUCCCACUCCAAGUUGAAGUUACAGAAGAUCUUGUGGCAUGGCAAUUCACCAAGUCUGGAACAUUUUCAGUACGCUCGGCUUAUUAUGUGGAGUUUGAUCACCAGUUCGGUCGGCAUUACAGAGAAGUUAAUAGUCCAGGAACUGCUCAGCUAAACGGGGUCUGGAAGGAGGUUUGGCGCCUCCGAUUACCAGGGAAGAUUAAGCACUUUGGUUGGAAAGUGCUUAAAGGAGUAUUACUGUGCUACGGUGUGCUAGCGGACAGACAUAUUCCCUUGAUCCCACAAUGCCCAAUAUGCAAGGUUGGCUUGGAAGAUAUCCAACACUGUUUAUUCACAUGUGAUAGAGCUCGACUUGUGUGGGCAUCGCUAGGACUAACAGAGGAGAUUGAUAAUGCUGUU